Ochotona princeps (American pika) is the source of this 1977-nucleotide RNA transcript. It is a transcript of the gene named sterile alpha motif domain containing 13, with no coding region annotated. The record is from RefSeq and is a predicted model, not a curated record. The transcript is spliced from 5 exons. NCBI's taxonomy places the organism in Eukaryota, Metazoa, Chordata, Mammalia, Lagomorpha, Ochotonidae.
UUCUCUUCUUCUCUAUUCUGCUACUGUCCCAAGCAAUAUACUCUUAAUCCCAUCUCUACAUAAAAUGUCCAAAAUCACCACUCCCAAAUGCUACUUGCUCAUUCACUCACAACCACCAGAACUCCAGGUUCCCCCGGCUUCUGAAAUCCUGUUUCCUUUUGGCUUCUUUUCUCUUGCUCAUAGAACCUUCUUGUUAUUUUCUGCUCACAGUUUUUGUGUGUGAGCCUCCACUGCUAGUUUUCUCUUCCCUGUCCGUUCUCCAGUCCACAGGUCCUUCUUUUGGUUUUACUUAUCUUCUUGUUUCAUAACGAUUUGCUAAUCAGCCAUUUCAAGAAAGUUCCGCACAGCAAGCUCCUCUUACUGCAUCUGUUCCCAGCCCUCCUCCUCACUCUUCCUUCCCAGCUGCUCAGAGCAGAGUUGAAUAGGAAAAUAAAAAGUGCAGAGUGGCUCGAGCUCCACUGGUAUAGACACAAAAACGCCCUCCAACGUGAACUUUUCUCUGCCUAAAUCCAGAGUAUUGUUUGAUAAUUCUAAUUCAGCGAACCAAUUAGGUGAACAAUGCUUCGCAAAACUAAGAGAGCUAUAAAGCUCCCUGCAAGCGUCAUGUGCAAACAUCCGCUCUCCUUUUGCACGCCCAGGGCUUCAGCUGAAUCGCUCUGGAGGAACCGAAGAGGUGUUUCAAGCAAAGAAUGCCAGGUGGGUCUUCAAGGUCAAAGAACAGAGCCCUAAAGAGAUGAACCUGACUCAAGAAACCUCGAUUUAUCAAUACCGCCCAAGUCCAGCUGAAAACUUCAUCGGGGUUGUGAGGAGCAAUUAAGACUGGAAGGAAGAUGAAGUUAAGCUGAGAAACCCCCCCCCCCCCUCAGCUGCAUCGAAGUUUUUGCACCCGUCUGCCCUCACAGGACCCUCACACCCAACUUCUCGGACCCCGUGGCCCAGGGCGGACUACAACUCCCGGCGUGCCGCGCGCCAGCUCCUGGUGGGCGCGUUGCUGCCACCGAGCUCCGCGCGGGAGUUCUGUGGAGAAUGGGAGGCCACCUGAUCCUGCAGAUUGGGCUGUGAUGGAUGUCGUCAAUUAUUUCCGGACAGCUGGAUUUGAGGAGCAAGCUAGUGUUUUUCAAGAACAGCAGGGACAUCCAUUUUCUUCUGAACUGGAUGCUGGUGUUCCUGCUUCUUUGGAUUUCUGGACUCCUUUUUAUUGAAGUAUAUUUAUUACUUACCACAAUGUAAUUUUGGAGUAUUUUCACUUGUUGUGUCUUCAGUUUCAUUCCAUGAUGGUCUAAGAAAAGGCAUGGAAAUGUUCUGUUUCACUGUGACACAGUCUACUGGAGGCUCUGUCGUUAUCAACUGGCAGGUUGUAAACUCAUCUAUACAUUGACACCCAGUUGAUGUAUGGAGAAAAAGCAAGGAAGAACCCACAUAAGUGAUUCUGUGGUCCAGGCCUGGAAAAGAAAUGGAUACAAGAUCUUUUCUGCAGUACAACCCCUUUACCACUCACCUGUUCCAGCAGCAUUUAUUCAGUAGCAGAGAGAUGCUCGUGAAGCCAUUGAAAGCAUUAGCCCUCACAGUAAGCCAGAAUGCCAUUUCAGUCUAACUGCAAGUCUCUUUUGAAUCAUGGCUAUUGCAUUAAUAAAUUUAGUAAAACUUGUUAGUCACACAAAUACAUGAAUACUUCAAAGUAUUCAUGAAGAGAUAAGCAUUUGGCACGACAAUUUUGACACCAAUUGGGGCAUCUGUAUCCCAUGUCCUAGUACCUGGUUCAAGUCUUGGCUCAGCUUCCUAUUUCAACUUCCUGCUAAUGCAUGCCUGGGAGGCAGCAGAUGAUGGCUAAAGUGGGAGAUCUGGAUUGAGUUCCAGGUUCCUGGCUUCAGCCUGACCCAGCCCCAGCUGUUGUAUUCACUUGGAAAGUAAACUGGUAGAUGGAUGAUACCUCUUUUUCUUUCUAUCCUUGUGUCUUUCAAAUACAGUGGAAAUAAA